Molecule: ribosomal RNA, 497 nt
Filed under: uncultured bacterium
Lineage: Bacteria
Description: partial 16S ribosomal RNA
Rfam family: Bacterial small subunit ribosomal RNA
Source: RNAcentral
GAUGAACGCUGGCGGCGUGCCUAAUACAUGCAAGUCGAGCGAACAGACGAGGAGCUUGCUCCUCUGACGUUAGCGGCGGACGGGUGAGUAACACGUGGAUAACCUACCUAUAAGACUGGGAUAACUUCGGGAAACCGGAGCUAAUACCGGAUAAUAUAUUGAACCGCAUGGUUCAAUAGUGAAAGACGGUUUUGCUGUCGCUUAUAGAUGGAUCCGCGCCGCAUUAGCUAGUUGGUAAGGUAACGGCUUACCAAGGCAACGAUGCGUAGCCGACCUGAGGGGGUGAUCGGCCACACUGGAACUGAGACACGGUCCAGACUCCUACGGGAGGCAGCAGUAGGGAAUCUUCCGCAAUGGGCGAAUGCCUGACGGAGCAACGCCGCGUGAGUGAUGAAGGUCUUCGGAUCGUAAAACUCUGUUAUUAGGGAAGAACAAAUGUGUAAGUAACUAUGCACGUCUUGACGGUACCUAAUCAGAAAGCCACGGCUAACUACGUG